Molecule: ribosomal RNA, 253 nt
Filed under: uncultured bacterium
Lineage: Bacteria
Description: partial 16S ribosomal RNA
Rfam family: Bacterial small subunit ribosomal RNA
Source: RNAcentral
UACGUAGGGUGCAAGCGUUAAUCGGAAUUACUGGGCGUAAAGCGUGCGCAGGCGGUCUUGCAAGACAGAUGUGAAAUCCCCGGGCUCAACCUGGGAACUGCAUUUGUGACUGCAAGGCUGGAGUACGGUAGAGGGGGAUGGAAUUCCGCGUGUAGUAGUGAAAUGCGUAGAUAUGCGGAGGAACACCGAUGGCGAAGGCAAUCCCCUGGGCCUGUACUGACGCUCAUGCACGAAAGCGUGGGGAGCAAACAGG